UCCAGAUGAGGUUAGGGCCCGUGCUAAACAGGUUGUGCAAGAUCAGCGCUGUCUGAAGGAUUGGAAGACUGAAAGAUACAAAGAAAUUAUCAAAUCUGGGACUGUAAGUACAAAUUUUUGUAUUCUUCGUUUAUGAUUACUUGUUAGUUCAUCUAUGUGGGUGAUUAUUCUGGAUGAGUGAUUGUGAAGAAAAUGGAUUUGAGUUAAUGGGCAGGUGGAGCCUAGACCUGGAGUAUUGAGAUUGAUGGAUGAGGCCAAGGAUGCUGCGACCAGCUGUCAAUUACUAAGGAGACAGGGAGACGGCUUGGAAUGGGUACAAACAUGUACCCUUCAUCAGCUUUACUUGGUGAUCACAAGGACCAGUCUGUUGCGGCUCUACCAAUUGAUGAACUCAUCGAGAAAGCUAAUGGUUUUGCUGGUGUCUUUCCUGAACACAAGUACGAGAUUGUGAAGAUAUUACAAGGUAGAGAACACACAUGUGGAAUGACAGGUGAUGGAGUCAAUGAUGCACCUGCAUUAAAGAAAGCAAACAUAGGAAUUGACGUGGCAGAUGCAACAGAUGCUGCUUGAAGUGCGUCUGAUAUUGUUCUGACUGAGCCUGGGUUGAGUGUAAUUAUUAGUGUUGUUUUAACAAGUCGUGCCAUCUUUCAAAGAAUGAAGAACUACACAGUAAGAUAUUUUUGUUUUCUUUUUGGCAUUCUUCAAGGAAGCAAAAUUUUUAGUCAAAAUAUGCGUUUCUCGGAUACAAAUUCUUGAAUACGAAUGCUGAAGUUCUCUGUUUCUCCAGAUAUAUGCCAUGUCUAUCACAAUUCGUAUAGUGGUAAGUUUCCCUCAGUAUUCUCUAGGAUUUAAACUAUAUGAAAAGCUUGACAAUGUGUUGACUGCACUAGAAACCUCUAAUUGGUGACUGGGAUUUGUCUAACAACUAGGUUUUCUGUUGCUGUCUGCUUUUUGAAGGUUCAACUUCCCACCUUUCAUGGUUCUUGUGAUUGCUAUACUUAAUGAUGGUACCAUCUUGACAA
Molecule: non-coding RNA, 1022 nt
Organism: Camellia sinensis
Lineage: Eukaryota; Viridiplantae; Streptophyta; Magnoliopsida; Ericales; Theaceae
Source: RefSeq, a predicted model, not a curated record